Molecule: ribosomal RNA, 253 nt
Filed under: Gemmataceae bacterium
Lineage: Bacteria; Pseudomonadati; Planctomycetota; Planctomycetia; Gemmatales; Gemmataceae
Also listed under: 2 other names
Description: partial 16S ribosomal RNA
Rfam family: Bacterial small subunit ribosomal RNA
Source: RNAcentral
GACGAACCGUCCUAACGUUGUUCGGAAUCACUGGGCUUAAAGGGCGCGUAGGCGGGCUCUCAAGUCCGGGGUGAAAUCUUUCGGCUCAACCGGAAAAUAGCCUUGGAUACUGGGAGUCUCGAGCGAGGUAGGGGCGGGUGGAACUUCCGGUGGAGCGGUGAAAUGCGUUGAUAUCGGAAGGAACGCCGGUGGCGAAAGCGACCCGCUGGACCUCUUCUGACGCUGAGGCGCGAAAGCCAGGGGAGCAAACGGG